Molecule: ribosomal RNA, 537 nt
Filed under: uncultured bacterium
Lineage: Bacteria
Description: bacterial SSU rRNA
Rfam family: Bacterial small subunit ribosomal RNA
Source: RNAcentral
ACGGGUGAGUAACGCGUGGGAAUCUACCCAUCCCUACGGAAUAACGCAUGGAAACGUGUGCUAAUACCGUAUACGCCCUACGGGGGAAAGAUUUAUCGGGGAUGGAUGAGCCCGCGUUGGAUUAGCUAGUUGGUGGGGUAAAGGCCUACCAAGGCGACGAUCCAUAGCUGGUCUGAGAGGAUGAUCAGCCACAUUGGGACUGAGACACGGCCCAAACUCCUACGGGAGGCAGCAGUGGGGAAUAUUGGACAAUGGGCGCAAGCCUGAUCCAGCCAUGCCGCGUGAGUGAUGAAGGCCUUAGGGUUGUAAAGCUCUUUCACCGGAGAAGAUAAUGACGGUAUCCGGAGAAGAAGCCCCGGCUAACUUCGUGCCAGCAGCCGCGGUAAUACGAAGGGGGCUAGCGUUGUUCGGAAUUACUGGGCGUAAAGCGCACGUAGGCGGAUCGAUCAGUCAGGGGUGAAAUCCCAGAGCUCAACUCUGGAACUGCCUUUGAUACUGUCGAUCUGGAGUAUGGAAGAGGUGAGUGGAAUUCCGAGU